This 601-nucleotide ribosomal RNA is filed under the name uncultured bacterium. RNAcentral describes it as "bacterial SSU rRNA". It matches the Rfam family "Bacterial small subunit ribosomal RNA", at positions 8 to 657 of the family's 1533-position model. The record is from RNAcentral.
AGAGUUUGAUCAUGGCUCAGAACGAACGCUGGCGGCAGGCCUAACACAUGCAAGUCGAGCGCACCUUCGGGUGAGCGGCGGACGGGUUAGUAACGCGUGGGAACGUGCCCUUUUCUGCGGAAUAGCCACUGGAAACGGUGAGUAAUACCGCAUACGCCCUUCGGGGGAAAGAUUUAUCGGAGAAGGAUCGGCCCGCGUUAGAUUAGGUAGUUGGUGGGGUAAUGGCCUACCAAGCCUACGAUCUAUAGCUGGUUUGAGAGGAUGAUCAGCAACACUGGGACUGAGACACGGCCCAGACUCCUACGGGAGGCAGCAGUGGGGAAUCUUAGACAAUGGGGGCAACCCUGAUCUAGCCAUGCCGCGUGAGUGAUGAAGGCCUUAGGGUCGUAAAGCUCUUUCGCUGGGGAUGAUAAUGACAGUACCCAGUAAAGAAACCCCGGCUAACUCCGUGCCAGCAGCCGCGGUAAUACGGAGGGGGUUAGCGUUGUUCGGAAUUACUGGGCGUAAAGCGCACGUAGGCGGACUGGAAAGUUAGAGGUGAAAUCCCGGGGCUCAACCCCGGAACUGCCUUUAAAACUAUCAGUCUAGAGUUCGAGAGAGG